This 468-nucleotide ribosomal RNA is filed under the name uncultured bacterium. Its description in RNAcentral is "partial 16S ribosomal RNA". It matches the Rfam family "Bacterial small subunit ribosomal RNA", at positions 28 to 507 of the family's 1533-position model. The record is from RNAcentral.
GACGAACGCUGGCGGCGUGCUUAACACAUGCAAGUCGAACGGAAAGGCCCUGCUUUUGUGGGGUGCUCGAGUGGCGAACGGGUGAGUAACACGUGAGUAACCUGCCCUUGACUUUGGGAUAACUUCAGGAAACUGGGGCUACUACCGGAUAGGAGCUCCUGCUGCAUGGUGGGGGGUGGAAAGUUUCGGCGGGUGGGGAUGGACUCGCGGCUUAUCAGCUUGUUGGUGGGGUAGUGGCUUACCAAGGCUUUGACGGGUAGCCGGCCUGAGAGGGUGACCGGCCACAUUGGGACUGCGAUACGGACCAGACUCCUACGGGAGGCAGCAGUGGGGAAUAUGGCACAAUGGGCGGAAGCCUGAUGCAGCAACGCCGCGUGCGGGAUGACGGCCUUCGGGUUGUAAACCGCUUUCGCCUGUGACGAAGCGUGAGUGACGGUAAUGGGUAAAGAAGCACCGGCUAACUACGUG